GUAAAACGGGAAGGCUGGGCUGCCCGUGCUCUGCAAAGUGCUCUCCGUGCUGCUGCCCUGCCACCCCUGCUGGUGACGUGCAUGCGUGUUUUGGCCAGCGUCCUCCACAGAGCCUCGUGAUCCCAGCUGGCUGGAGGCCGAGGAGGUACUGGGAGAAUUCUUUUGCCUUCUGGGGAGAGAAGAUUCCGUGCCUGUCGCAGAUUCUGAAGAGGGGGACACUCUCCUCAACUCUUACCCUGCACCCCCUCCUGCCCACUUCCCUCCACCCCAGAUCCCAGUUCAGCUCACUGGGUAUGGCUCCAGCGCUGAUCUGGUGGUUUCCAAGCUUACUGUUAAAGGUCAAAACUACAGUGGAAAAGAGCGGGGUCUCGGUUCUGGACCCUCCCUACUGGGAUGAAGAAGCAAAGGCCUGGGGCUGGGAGCUGGCCUUGGUCCCCUGACCGUCCAGGUGAAGAGACAGAGCCCUACCGGGGACAGCUGCCACCUUCCUUGGCCCUAGCCUUGCGUGCUUCCAGGCUCUCAUCUCCCCUUCCCUCCUUUCCAUCCCAUUUCACUGUCAAGGAGACCAAGCUCUCUACAGUGGGCCUCUGCUCAGCAGGACACACACCCUCCCUGCUCACUGAGCAACACACACUUACCUGUCUGGGUGCUUCGGGUAGGAAUUGAGAUGCCUACAGGCUCCAGAAACUCCAGACAGGAGCAGCUUCAACAAGACAGGAGUUGAUUUUUCUCUUCUGUAGCAAGAAGCUCAAGGGGAGAGAGUCGUCGUGGGGUGGAAGGGCAGCUCAAGGGCAUGAGGUCUAAGGUCUUCGCAGUGCUCCUGACCUUGACCUUGUAGCGUGCUGCAAGAUGUCUGUUCCAGCCCCAGGCACUGAGUUUUUGAUUCAGACAGUAAGGAGGGGAGAAGUGGAGGCGAAGAGCACGAGAGCCGCAUGAGUGAAUGGGGAGAGUUUCCCGGAGCUCGCGUGAAUACUGAAAUCCAUGCCUGCUAGGUCCCUUGUAUAAAACGGCAUAGUUGCUGUGUAUUCCCUAUACACCCCUCGUAGCCACUUGAAAUCAUCUCUAGAUUCCAGAAAAUACCUAAUCCGAUUCAAGUGCUAUUAAAAUAGCAGUGCUGGAUGGUUUAGGAAUCAUGACGGGAAAAGAAAGUCUGCACACGGCCAGGCAUUUUACAGUCACUGUUGGCUGAAUCCAUAGAUAUAGAAGCCCCUGACACGGAGGGACAGUUGAUUCUUUUUAAAAAAUGUGAUUUUCAUUAGUACAUUGUGUAAUACGUAAUGAUUGCAUUCAUGGUGGGUAGCUGGUACACAGGUGUAACAUGUCUUUUGCAAAUGGGAAGGAGGCCAAGAGAUGGAGGGAGCGGAAGGAGGGGAGGGGAAGAGUUGUAAACAGAAUGAGGGCAUGCUAUGUACAGAUACUGGCCGCGUCUUCUAAGGAGUUUCCCUGCGAGGUCAUCCAGCCGCUGCUACUCACAGCUCCUGGUGAUGCGUGACUGCCUCUUUCGGCAAGGAAUCUGAGAAAUGGGUUCUUUCUAACUAGACAGCACGGUUCUGUUAAAUAAGCAUGGAUUGCAUUUGUUUUCUUGGGCAACCGUAACUAACUACCACAAACUGGAUGGCUUAAGUCAGUAGAAAUGUAUUCUCUCUGAGCUCUGAAAUCGAAGUGUUGACAGGACCCCAUUCCCUGCGGAAAGCUGCGGGAAGGAUCUGCCCCACGCCUACUCCCCAGUGUUUUGGGGUCAACGCCAUGCCUGGUGUUCCCCGAGUUCUGAGCGCCUCCUGCCAGCUCUGCAUCCAUCGUCAUCACAUCCUUCUCCUUGGUGUGUGUCUGUCUCAUAAUAAAAUCAUUUGUACUGAA
Molecule: long non-coding RNA, 1857 nt
Organism: Cavia porcellus (domestic guinea pig)
Lineage: Eukaryota; Metazoa; Chordata; Mammalia; Rodentia; Caviidae
Exons: 2
Source: RefSeq, a predicted model, not a curated record